CGUUCUUUUGUUCCUCAUUUAGUUGCAAUGUUUUCAAAAUAAUCUCGUGCUACACGACAAAUCAGUACUCAACAUAAUAUGAGUCAGCAAAUCUACAUCGCGUGUUAUCAAUAAGUCUUGGAAACUACUUUUUCCUUCCAUAUUAACUUGUCUUUUACCGUCAUUUUCAAUAUGGUAUCUUUGCACAGAGACAAUAUUCACGGGUUUCGCUUCACAGUUAUUUACUGCGAGCCCUAAUUCUUUAAUAAAUUCAUCCGUUAAAAACUCACACACGCUCCUGUUUCUAGGAGCGCUGCCACUUUUGCAUAUGUAUUAUCAUGAGUAGUGCGAUCUGCCUAACAAAGUUACUCUUGAGUCAUGUUGAUUAUAGCCUUCUUUUCAUUAUUUUUAAGGUCACUCCCUUGUUCGUUAUGGCCUUCAUCUUAUUAUAUUAAAGGUUACUCCCUUGUUCGUUAUAGCCUUCAUCUUAUUAUAUUAAAGGUUACUCCCUUCUUCGUUAUAGCCUUCAUCUUAUUAUAUUAAAGGUUACUCCCUUCUUCGUUAUAGCCUUCAUCUUAUUAUAUUAAAGGUUACUCCCUUCUUCGUUAUAGCCUUCAUCUUAUUAUAUUAAAGGUUACUCCCUUCUUCGUUAUAGCCUUCAUCUUAUUAUAUUAAAGGUUACUCCCUUCUUCGUUAUAGCCUUCAUCUUAUUAUAUUAAAGGUUACUCCCUUCUUCGUUAUAGCCUUCAUCUUAUUAUAUUAAAGGUUACUCCCUUGUUCGUUGUAGCCUUCAUCUUAUUAUAUUAAAGGUUACUCCCUGUUUUGUUCUUCGCUCAUUUUCCGUUUUUUCCACUGCAAGUGUG
This is a long non-coding RNA of Eriocheir sinensis (Chinese mitten crab), 842 nucleotides long. RefSeq lists it as uncharacterized. NCBI's taxonomy places the organism in Eukaryota, Metazoa, Arthropoda, Malacostraca, Decapoda, Varunidae. The record is from RefSeq and is a predicted model, not a curated record. The transcript is spliced from 3 exons.